GGGCGCAUGGCCUAAUGGUAAGGCGUCAGAUUUCGGUCUCCAUGUUGAUCUCUGAAGAUUGCAGGUUCGAUCCCUGCUGUGCUCG
This 85-nucleotide transfer RNA is filed under the name Daldinia caldariorum. RNAcentral describes it as "tRNA-Arg". It matches the Rfam family "tRNA". From Rfam's summary of the family: Transfer RNA (tRNA) molecules are approximately 80 nucleotides in length. The record is from RNAcentral. Lineage: Eukaryota; Fungi; Ascomycota; Sordariomycetes; Xylariales; Hypoxylaceae.